RNAcentral lists this ribosomal RNA (450 nucleotides) under uncultured Glomus. Its description in RNAcentral is "SSU rRNA". It matches the Rfam family "Eukaryotic small subunit ribosomal RNA", at positions 569 to 1024 of the family's 1831-position model. The record is from RNAcentral. Lineage: Eukaryota; Fungi; Glomeromycota; Glomeromycetes; Glomerales; Glomeraceae.
CGCAGCCGCGGUAAUUCCAGCUCCAAUAGCGUAUAUUAAAGUUGUUGCAGUUAAAAAGCUCGUAGUUGAAUUUCGGGGUCAGUAGGUUGGUCAUGCCACUGGUAUGUACUGGCCUCACUGAUUCCUCCUUCCUGAUGAGCCGUAAUGCCAUUAAUUUGGUGUUGCGAGGAAUCUGGACUGUUACUUUGAAAAAUUAGAGUGUUUAAAGCAGGCUAACGCUUGAAUACAUUAGCAUGGAAUAAUGAAAUAGGACGUUCGAUCUUAUUUUGUUGGUUUCUAAGAUUGACGUAAUGAUUAAUAGGGAUAGUUGGGGGCAUUAGUAUUCAAUUGUCAGAGGUGAAAUUCUUGGAUUUAUUGAAGACUAACUACUGCGAAAGCAUUUGCCAAGGAUGUUUUCAUUAAUCAAGAACGAAAGUUAGGGGAUCGAAGACGAUCAGAUACCGUCCUAGU